Molecule: unclassified non-coding RNA, 208 nt
Filed under: Hevea brasiliensis (rubber tree)
Lineage: Eukaryota; Viridiplantae; Streptophyta; Magnoliopsida; Malpighiales; Euphorbiaceae
Source: RNAcentral
UCUGACCUCUCAGCUGUGGAGAAGAUGUCAGUUGAUGCCCAAAAAUACAAUUUUGUUGCUAUGAAGUUUGAUCAUGUGAAGGGUGCUGUUCAUUUUGGUAAUCAAGAUAUUGAAUCUGACCAGCUCAGUGAUCAUCUUGCUAUUUUUACGCAAUCUCUUAACAACGCAAGGAGUCUUAUCCAUCCUGCGCCCAAAAAGAUUUCCAAAG